CUAACUGGAGGACCGAACCGACUAAUGUUGAAAAAUUAGCGGAUGACUUGUGGCUGGGGGUGAAAGGCCAAUCAAACCGGGAGAUAGCUGGUUCUCCCCGAAAGCUAUUUAGGUAGCGCCUCGUGAAUUCAUCUCCGGGGGUAGAGCACUGUUUCGGCAAGGGGGUCAUCCCGACUUACCAACCCGAUGCAAACUGCGAAUACCGGAGAAUGUUAUCACGGGAGACACACGGCGGGUGCUAACGUCCGUCGUGAAGAGGGAAACAACCCAGACCGCCAGCUAAGGUCCCAAAGUCAUGGUUAAGUGGGAAACGAUGUGGGAAGGCCCAGACAGCCAGGAUGUUGGCUUAGAAGCAGCCAUCAUUUAAAGAAAGCGUAAUAGCUCACUGGUCGAGUCGGCCUGCGCGGAAGAUGUAACGGGGCUAAACCAUGCACCGAAGCUGCGGCAGCGACGCUUAUGCGUUGUUGGGUAGGGGAGCGUUCUGUAAGCCUGCGAAGGUGUGCUGUGAGGCAUGCUGGAGGUAUCAGAAGUGCGAAUGCUGACAUAAGUAACGAUAAAGCGGGUGAAAAGCCCGCUCGCCGGAAGACCAAGGGUUCCUGUCCAACGUUAAUCGGGGCAGGGUGAGUCGACCCCUAAGGCGAGGCCGAAAGGCGUAGUCGAUGGGAAACAGGUUAAUAUUCCUGUACUUGGUGUUACUGCGAAGGGGGGACGGAGAAGGCUAUGUUGGCCGGGCGACGGUUGUCCCGGUUUAAGCGUGUAGGCUGGUUUUCCAGGCAAAUCCGGAAAAUCAAGGCUGAGGCGUGAUGACGAGGCACUACGGUGCUGAAGCAACAAAUGCCCUGCUUCCAGGAAAAGCCUCUAAGCAUCAGGUAACAUCAAAUCGUACCCCAAACCGACACAGGUGGUCAGGUAGAGAAUACCAAGGCGCUUGAGAGAACUCGGGUGAAGGAACUAGGCAAAAUGGUGCCGUAACUUCGGGAGAAGGCACGCUGAUAUGUAGGUGAAGUCCCUCGCGGAUGGAGCUGAAAUCAGUCGAAGAUACCAGCUGGCUGCAACUGUUUAUUAAAAACACAGCACUGUGCAAACACGAAAGUGGACGUAUACGGUGUGACGCCUGCCCGGUGCCGGAAGGUUAAUUGAUGGGGUUAGCCGCAAGGCGAAGCUCUUGAUCGAAGCCCCGGUAAACGGCGGCCGUAACUAUAACGGUCCUAAGGUAGCGAAAUUCCUUGUCGGGUAAGUUCCGACCUGCACGAAUGGCGUAAUGAUGGCCAGGCUGUCUCCACCCGAGACUCAGUGAAAUUGAACUCGCUGUGAAGAUGCAGUGUACCCGCGGCAAGACGGAAAGACCCCGUGAACCUUUACUAUAGCUUGACACUGAACAUUGAGCCUUGAUGUGUAGGAUAGGUGGGAGGCUUUGAAGUGUGGACGCCAGUCUGCAUGGAGCCGACCUUGAAAUACCACCCUUUAAUGUUUGAUGUUCUAACGUUGACCCGUAAUCCGGGUUGCGGACAGUGUCUGGUGGGUAGUUUGACUGGGGCGGUCUCCUCCUAAAGAGUAACGGAGGAGCACGAAGGUUGGCUAAUCCUGGUCGGACAUCAGGAGGUUAGUGCAAUGGCAUAAGCCAGCUUGACUGCGAGCGUGACGGCGCGAGCAGGUGCGAAAGCAGGUCAUAGUGAUCCGGUGGUUCUGAAUGGAAGGGCCAUCGCUCAACGGAUAAAAGGUACUCCGGGGAUAACAGGCUGAUACCGCCCAAGAGUUCAUAUCGACGGCGGUGUUUGGCACCUCGAUGUCGGCUCAUCACAUCCUGGGGCUGAAGUAGGUCCCAAGGGUAUGGCUGUUCGCCAUUUAAAGUGGUACGCGAGCUGGGUUUAGAACGUCGUGAGACAGUUCGGUCCCUAUCUGCCGUGGGCGCUGGAGAACUGAGGGGGGCUGCUCCUAGUACGAGAGGACCGGAGUGGACGCAUCACUGGUGUUCGGGUUGUCAUGCCAAUGGCACUGCCCGGUAGCUAAAUGCGGAAGAGAUAAGUGCUGAAAGCAUCUAAGCACGAAACUUGCCCCGAGAUGAGUUCUCCCUGACUCCUUGAGAGUCCUGAAGGAACGUUGAAGACGACGACGUUGAUAGGCCGGGUGUGUAAGCGCAGCGAUGCGUUGAGCUAACCGGUACUAAUGAACCGUGAGGCUUAACCUUACAACGCCGAAG
RNAcentral lists this ribosomal RNA (2200 nucleotides) under Escherichia coli. RNAcentral's name for it is "partial 23S ribosomal RNA". It matches the Rfam family "Bacterial large subunit ribosomal RNA", at positions 762 to 2925 of the family's 2925-position model. Lineage: Bacteria; Pseudomonadati; Pseudomonadota; Gammaproteobacteria; Enterobacterales; Enterobacteriaceae. The record is from RNAcentral.